Molecule: ribosomal RNA, 253 nt
Filed under: uncultured bacterium
Lineage: Bacteria
Description: partial 16S ribosomal RNA
Rfam family: Bacterial small subunit ribosomal RNA
Source: RNAcentral
UACGGAGGGUGCGAGCGUUGUUCGGAAUUAUUGGGCGUAAAGAGCGUGUAGGCGGCUUAGUAAGUCUGAUGUGAAAUCCCAGGGCUCAACCCUGGAACUGCAUUGGAUACUGCUAAGCUAGAGGCCGAGAGAGGGAAGUGGAAUUCCUGGUGUAGGGGUGAAAUCCGUAGAUAUCAGGAGGAACAUCGAAAGCGAAGGCAGCUUCCUGGCUCGGUUCUGACGCUGAGACGCGAAAGCGUGGGUAGCAAACGGG